RNAcentral lists this ribosomal RNA (546 nucleotides) under uncultured bacterium. Its description in RNAcentral is "bacterial SSU rRNA". It matches the Rfam family "Bacterial small subunit ribosomal RNA", at positions 777 to 1320 of the family's 1533-position model. The record is from RNAcentral.
AAUAGAUACCCAGGUAGUCCACGCCGUAAACGAUGAGUGCUAAGUGUUAGGGGGUUUCCGCCCCUUAGUGCUGCAGCUAACGCAUUAAGCACUCCGCCUGGGGAGUACGGUCGCAAGACUGAAACUCAAAGGAAUUGACGGGGGCCCGCACAAGCGGUGGAGCAUGUGGUUUAAUUCGAAGCAACGCGAAGAACCUUACCAGGUCUUGACAUCCCAUUGACCACUAUGGAGACAUAGUUUUCCCUUCGGGGACAACGGUGACAGGUGGUGCAUGGUUGUCGUCAGCUCGUGUCGUGAGAUGUUGGGUUAAGUCCCGCAACGAGCGCAACCCUUGUUCUUAGUUGCCAUCAUUUAGUUGGGCACUCUAAGGAGACUGCCGGUGACAAACCGGAGGAAGGUGGGGAUGACGUCAAAUCAUCAUGCCCCUUAUGACCUGGGCUACACACGUGCUACAAUGGACGGUACAAACGGUUGCCAACCCGCGAGGGGGAGCUAAUCCGGAUAAAACCGUUCUCAGUUCGGAUUGUAGGCUGCAACUCGCCUACA